This 196-nucleotide ribosomal RNA is filed under the name Falcileptoneta boeunensis. Its description in RNAcentral is "partial large subunit ribosomal RNA". Lineage: Eukaryota; Metazoa; Arthropoda; Arachnida; Araneae; Leptonetidae. The record is from RNAcentral.
CAGCCGCAGAUAUCUGUGCUAAGGUAGCAUAAUCAUUUGUCUUUUAAUUAAAGACUAGAAUGAAAGGUCAAAUGAAUAAGAAAUUUUAACUUCAUAAUACAACUAAAUUAAAUUUAGCGUAAAAAUACACUAAUAUCAAUAAAAGACGACAAGACCCUGUCGAACUUCACUGAUGUUAAACCGGAACAGUCUUUUU